AAUUGAAGGCUUUUGAAAAGUCGAGAAAAAUACCACAAGUAAAUAAAUUAUUAUCAAUUGCUUUUGCAGGAUAAGAUGUCUUCACUUACAGUACACAUUACAAAUUAAAUUGAGUCUUGCCUUGCCCAGAGAAGUGACAGAUUGAUAAAUGGAGUAGUUGCAAYCAAGGAGGAUUUGAAGACAUUAAAGUCUACUUUAAGAGAUGUAAAGAAACGUUUUAAAGAUCAACUUAGCAGUGCCAAUAGUUACACAUGGAUAAUACCUGACUACCCCACUUUAUGCAAGAAAUAUGCCUGUGCCUCAAGCUUCCAAAGUCCUUUUGUUUUCCUGGUUAUGUGGUUACAGACUUAGAUUAUCAGCAUCCCCUAAUGGAGAUAGAGAAACAAGUCAUUCAUUCCUCUCUUUAUACCUAAGAUUAUAUGAAGACCAUUUGCUGACAUCUGGUGAUGUUCAUGUGGUGCCCAGCAGUGAAGCCACUAUAGGUUUCAGGUAGUGCCACACACCCACCAGUAUCCAAACCUGCCUUUUAACGUGGGGCAUGGGUUAUAUUGUUGAUAAAUAUCAAAAGCUAAAAAAUAAACACCAGCUUCUCAGCAGACAAUGUCUGUCCAACAUUGGUCAAAUGCCUCUUUUAGACUGGACAAACCAAUGAGUCACAUGUGGCCAUUCAUUAUGCAUGGCCUAGUCAAAGGUCGAACCCUGAAACAACCUCUGGGCAAAUCUAAGUCAGGGCACAGCUAACUCAAAGAUUGAACCAUAAAACAACCUCUGGGCUGAUCAAAGUCAGGGCAUGGCUAACUCACAAAUUGAACCCUGAAACAAUCUCUGUGCUGAUCUUAGUCAUGGCACAGUCAACUCAUUGAAUUUGAAUUUUCAUGUCUAGGUUUAUAAAGAGGGAGUAAAAAACUGAGAAUCCAGAGGAAACCCAAUCAAACUAAAACCCAAUCAACCUAUAACAAACUUUUUGAACUGAAUGGUUAUUUUCAUACCAGCUUUCAUAAAACUUUUUACCAGAUUAACUGUGAUCAGCCAAGUGCAUGGUGUCAAUGACGUCAGUCAAAAAAGACGGAAGAGUGCUACUAUAGUCAAAUUUUAUUCUUCAAAUUUUACUAUUAAAGAUCUUGUUAAUUAAAGUACA
Actinia tenebrosa (Australian red waratah sea anemone) is the source of this 1138-nucleotide long non-coding RNA. NCBI's taxonomy places the organism in Eukaryota, Metazoa, Cnidaria, Anthozoa, Actiniaria, Actiniidae. The record is from RefSeq and is a predicted model, not a curated record.